UCCCAAACCAGAAAAACCCAAUCGGCGAGAAAACAACAUUCUUCUCAGAAAUCACUACUUCCGUCAGAAAAUGAGCAACAGGAAUUACGACGAAAAAAUAAAAAAAGGUUCAAUCAUUUAUUUGCGACCAGGUCAAAAACACAAUCUGAUCUAAUCGGCAAUAUAAUCAGAGAGGGCCUAUUCACCGUUGAUAUUCCACAAAUAUCAGAAGAAAAUAAACUACCGAAUGAAAACAUUUCAAAGCUCAGAAGUCCAGGAAAGCGACCUCCAGUACGACGUAAGACCUCGCGAUUGCUAGUUAAAGAUGUAGUCGAUGAUGCCAAGCAUAUUUUGGAUACAUUGGAUGAGAACUGUGCCGACGACUUGGAAAGCAUAUCUAAUGCAGAAAGAUAAUUAGGAAGACAAAUAGCUUUCAUAAUUUAGAACUCAAAGAAUAUUCUGAUUUUUGAGAUGCACUGAGGUGCCAUCAAUAAAUUGAAUUACAUAUGCCCAUAGAAGCAUUACGCUUACGCGUUGAUUAGUGCAAAUGUAUUGUAUUAUAUAACAGAUUUUAUCUUAAGCAUUUUUUUUAUCAAAACAUGUAUUAGUACAUCGAGAAUAUUGAUACAUUUGAGGCCCGUGCAUAUAUGAACAUUUAUAAUGCAGUGAAAACCACCUCACUCCUAGCAAAAUAUCACAUUGCUGGUUUAUUUUGGGUAUAUAUGGUAAUAAAAAAGUUA
Styela clava is the source of this 719-nucleotide non-coding RNA. The record is from RefSeq and is a predicted model, not a curated record. NCBI's taxonomy places the organism in Eukaryota, Metazoa, Chordata, Ascidiacea, Stolidobranchia, Styelidae.